Molecule: ribosomal RNA, 460 nt
Filed under: uncultured bacterium
Lineage: Bacteria
Description: partial 16S ribosomal RNA
Rfam family: Bacterial small subunit ribosomal RNA
Source: RNAcentral
CCUACGGGGGGCAGCAGUGAGGAAUAUUGGUCAAUGGACGAGAGUCUGAACCAGCCACGUAGCGUGAAGGAUGACUGCCCUAUGGGUUGUAAACUUCUUUUAUAUGGGAAUAAAAUGUUCCACGUGUGGGAUUUUGUAUGUACCAUAUGAAUACGGAUCGGCUAACUCCGUGCCAGCAGCCGCGGUAAUACGGAGGGUCCGAGCGUUAUCCGGAUUUAUUGGGUUUAAAGGGAGCGUAGGUGGAUUGUUAAGUCAGUUGUGAAAGUUUGCGGCUCAACCGUAAAAUUGCAGUUGAAACUGGCAGUCUUGAGUACAGGAGAGGUGGGCGGAAUUCGUGGUGUAGCGGUGAAAUGCUUAGAUAUCACGAAGAACUCCGAUUGCGAAGGCAGUUCACUGGACUGCAACUGACACUGAGGCUCGAAAGUGUGGGUAUCAAACAGGAUUAGAUACCCCUGUAGUC